CAGUGGGCUGCAGCGGAACCAGGCCUUGUCUCUGGAGGUUGAGGAUGUGCUGCUGCUGAAGCUGCUGCAUCUGGAUCAGCUGCUGCUGGAAGGCCAGCUGCUUACUGCCUAGCUGCUGACAGGGAGACGAAAAGGAGGACAAGCAACCUGAAAACUAGGACAACGGAGGAGCACGGGGGAGAACGGAAAAGCAAUUCAGACAGUCGCUCAACAUGCGAGUCAACCACAACUGGUUUGCUUUGGUCACGGUAGAGUCGGUCGCCCGCUGUCAGUAAGGAGCAUGUUGGCCGAGGUGGACGGGGUUGGGACUUUGCCCAGAGGGAGAGGAGGAGGACAAAUUCGAGGAUGUGCCUUUUCUUGCUUUUCUCAGAAAUGUCUCACAAGCUCUUUCUCUUGAAGGGUUUUCCCUGCAUUGUCUGUUUCUUAUUAUCAUCAUCACAUAAGAAUUGCCAUUAUACACAGAUGUAAACACAUAGCUCCUUGUACCUUAAACAGUCAUCACAUUAAAUAUGUCUAAAUGAUCCAGA
Molecule: long non-coding RNA, 527 nt
Organism: Girardinichthys multiradiatus
Lineage: Eukaryota; Metazoa; Chordata; Actinopteri; Cyprinodontiformes; Goodeidae
Exons: 2
Source: RefSeq, a predicted model, not a curated record